AAAGUCGUAACAAGGUCUCCGUAGGUGAACCUGCGGAGGGAUCAUUACAGAGCUCAUUGCCCCUAACGGGUAGAUCUCCCCACCCCUAUGUUAUCAUUUACCCAUGUUGCUUUGGCGGGCCGUCAGGCUCACGCUCGGCUACCGGCUCUGGCUGGUAAGCGCCCCGCCAGAGGACCCUCAAACCCCUGAAAUAUUUCGUGUCGUCUGAGUACCAUAUAAUAGUUAAAA
RNAcentral lists this unclassified non-coding RNA (228 nucleotides) under plant metagenome. Its description in RNAcentral is "partial contains small subunit ribosomal RNA and internal transcribed spacer 1". The stretch from base 1 to 47 matches the Rfam family "Eukaryotic small subunit ribosomal RNA", at positions 1785 to 1831 of the family's 1831-position model. The record is from RNAcentral.